GUGAGGAAUUUUGCGCAAUGGGGGUAACCCUGACGCAGCGACGCCGCGUGGAGGACGAAGUCUUUCGGGAUGUAAACUCCUGUCAGUGGGGACGAUAAUGACGGUACCCACAGAGGAAGCACCGGCUAACUCCGUGCCAGCAGCCGCGGUAAGACGGAGGGUGCAAGCGUUGUUCGGAAUUACUGGGCGUAAAGCGUAUGUAGGCGGCAAGUUAAGUUCAAUGUUAAAGCCCACGGCUCAACCGAGGAGAUGCAUUGAAUACUGGCUAGCUAGAGGGUGUUAGAGGAAGACGGAAUUCCCAGUGUAGCGGUGAAAUGCGUAGAUAUUGGGAGGAACAUCGGUAGCGAAAGCGGUCUUCUGGGACAUACCUGACGCUGAGGUACGAAAGCGUGGGGAGCAAACGGGAUUAGAAACCCUAGUAGUCC
This 425-nucleotide ribosomal RNA is filed under the name uncultured bacterium. RNAcentral describes it as "partial 16S ribosomal RNA". It matches the Rfam family "Bacterial small subunit ribosomal RNA", at positions 354 to 796 of the family's 1533-position model. The record is from RNAcentral.